This is a long non-coding RNA of Mytilus californianus (California mussel), 566 nucleotides long. RefSeq lists it as uncharacterized. NCBI's taxonomy places the organism in Eukaryota, Metazoa, Mollusca, Bivalvia, Mytilida, Mytilidae. The transcript is spliced from 3 exons. The record is from RefSeq and is a predicted model, not a curated record.
UAUCCGGUUCGGAGAAAAAUGGUUGAUCAAAGAUCACGAAGACGUUAACAAACAGUUUUAAUACUUUUUAUGGACAAUCGGUGAAUAUUUAUAGUAUACUGCAUCAUUACAAUCAAAGCGACCUAGAAGAAAAAGAAGUAAAAGCUCUACAGAAUCAGUUAAUGCAAGAUCUAAGAAACGAGUAUCUGAAUCAUCCAGCUCAUCUGACUCUGAUAUAGUUGACACUGAACUUCAAAGACCUGCUCCACUUCGCAAUAGGAGAACAAGGCUGAGACCAACCAAUUUUUUGGGUAGAAGUAUUCAAACAGGAAUGGAUAAUUGACGAACAAUUAGGUAAAAAAGAGUGGUACAAAGGAACUAUUCUUUAUGUAUUGUCUGGGACUUAUGGCAAUUUGAAUGCUGUUUAUGAGAUCAAAUAUGAAGGAGAGGAUGUGGCUUAUGAAAUAGACCAUUUAAUUCAAGAUUACCAGUCUGGAUCUGUUGAGUUUUGUGAUGUAUAGCUUAACUUCAGUUUAGAUAAACAGGUACAUUACCUAGAAAUUAUUAAUUAUACAGUUUGUCAUGUU